This 70-nucleotide transfer RNA is filed under the name Phauda flammans. Its description in RNAcentral is "tRNA-Leu". Lineage: Eukaryota; Metazoa; Arthropoda; Insecta; Lepidoptera; Zygaenidae. The record is from RNAcentral.
ACUAUUUUGACAGAGGAUUGUGAUGGUUUUAGAAGUCAUUUACAUAUAAUUUAUAAUUAUAUAAAUAGUA